RNAcentral lists this ribosomal RNA (959 nucleotides) under uncultured archaeon. RNAcentral's name for it is "bacterial SSU rRNA". It matches the Rfam family "Archaeal small subunit ribosomal RNA", at positions 1 to 965 of the family's 1478-position model. The record is from RNAcentral.
AACCUGGUUGAUCCUGCCGGAGGCUACCGCUAUUGGAGUUCGAUUAAGCCAUGCGAGUCGCGAGAAAUUAGAUUCUCGGCGUACCGCUCAGUAACACGUGGGUAACCUGCCCUAUGCUGGAUAAUAACCUCGGGAAACUGAGAAUAAUGAUCCAUAGUUCACUACGCCUGGAACGGUGAGUGGAUGAAAGCUCCGGCGGCAUAGGAUGGGCCUGCGGCGUAUCAGGUUGUAGGGGGUGUAACGUACCCUCUAGCCCUCUACGCGUACGGGUGUUGGGAGACAUAGCCCGGAGAUGGAUUCUGAGACACGAAUCCAGACCCUACGGGGUGCAGCAGGCGCGAAAACUUGGCAAUGCGAGAAAUCGUGACCAGGGAACUCCAAGUGCAUGGGGUAAGACCCAUGCUUUUCUUGACUCUAAAUAGGUCUUGGAAUAAGGGGUGGGUAAGGACGGUGCCAGCCGCCGCGGUAAUACCGGCGCCUCAAGUGGUAGUCGCUUUUAUUGGGCCUAAAACGUCCGUAGCCGGUCUGAUACAUUCGUGGGUAAAUCAACCAGCUUAACUGGUUGAAUUCUGCGAGGACGGUCAGACUUGGGACCGGGAGAGGUGUGGGGUACGCUCAGGGUAGGGGUAAAAUCCUGUCAUCCUGAGCGGACCACCUGUUGCGAAGGCGCCACACUAGAACGGAUCCGACGGUCAGGGACGAAGCCUAGGGGCACGAACCGGAUUAGAUACCCGGGUAGUCCUAGGUGUAAACGCUGUGGACUUGGUGUUGGGGAUUCUCCGAGGAUCCUCAGUGCCGAAGCGAANGUGAUAAGUCCACUGCCUGGGGAGUACGGUCGCAAGGCUGAAACUUAAAGGAAUUGGCGGGGGAGCACCGCAACCUGAGGAUUGUGCGGUUUAAUUGGAUUCAACGCCCGGAAACUCACCAGUGCCGACGACAAAUGAAAGCCAGUUUGAUGA